GAUGAAGAACGCAGCGAAAUGCGAUACGUAAUGUGAAUUGCAAAUUCAGUGAAUCAUCGAGUCUUUGAACGCACAUUGCGCCCCCUGGUAUUCCGGGGGGCAUGCCUGUCCGAGCGUCAUUGCAACCCUCAAGCGCGGCUUGUGUGUUGGGCUUCGUCCCCCCGUGGACGUGCCCGAAAGGCAGUGGCGGCGUCCCGAAUGGUGCCCGAGCGUAUGGGAACUCUCUUCCGCUCGAACCGGCCCAUUCGGCGCUGGUCGAACCCCAAUUUUUUACCGGUUGACCUCGGAUCAGGUAGGGAUACCCGCUGAACUUAAGCAUAUCAAUAAGCGGAGGA
RNAcentral lists this unclassified non-coding RNA (335 nucleotides) under soil metagenome. Its description in RNAcentral is "partial contains 5.8S ribosomal RNA, internal transcribed spacer 2, and large subunit ribosomal RNA". The stretch from base 1 to 119 matches the Rfam family "5.8S ribosomal RNA", at positions 35 to 154 of the family's 154-position model. The record is from RNAcentral.